GAUGACGACCGGCGCACGGGUGCGUAACGCGUAUACAAUCUACCUUAUACUAAAGGAUAGCCCAGAGAAAUUUGGAUUAACACUUUAUAGUUUUACAAAUAGGCAUCUAUUUAUAAAUAAAGAUUACGGUAUAAGAUGAGUAUGCGUCCUAUUAGCUAUUAUGUAGGGUAACGGCUUACAUAGGCUAUGAUAGGUAGGGGUUCUGAGAGGGAAAUCCCCCACACUGGUACUGAGACACGGACCAGACUCCUACGGGAGGCAGCAGUGAGGAAUAUUGGACAAUGGGAGCAAUCCUGAUCCAGCCAUGCCGCGUGCAGGAAGACAGUCCUAUGGAUUGUAAACUGCUUUUAUACAGGAAGAAAAAGCCCGACGUGUCGGGUGUUGACGGUACUGUAUGAAUAAGGAUCGGCUAACUCCGUGCCAGCAGCCGCGGUAAUACGGAGGAUCCGAGCGUUAUCCGGAAUUAUUGGGUUUAAAGGGUCCGUAGGCGGGAUAAUAAGUCAGUGGUGAAAGUUUGUGGCUCAACCAUAAAAUUGCCAUUGAUACUGUUAUUCUUGAGUUAUUGUGAAGUGGUUAGAAUGUGUAGUGUAGCGGUGAAAUGCAUAGAUAUUACACAGAAUACCAAUUGCGAA
RNAcentral lists this ribosomal RNA (632 nucleotides) under uncultured bacterium. Its description in RNAcentral is "bacterial SSU rRNA". It matches the Rfam family "Bacterial small subunit ribosomal RNA", at positions 87 to 719 of the family's 1533-position model. The record is from RNAcentral.